Molecule: transfer RNA, 57 nt
Filed under: Acetanaerobacterium elongatum
Lineage: Bacteria; Bacillati; Bacillota; Clostridia; Eubacteriales; Oscillospiraceae
Rfam family: tRNA
About the family: Transfer RNA (tRNA) molecules are approximately 80 nucleotides in length. Their secondary structure includes four short double-helical elements and three loops (D, anti-codon, and T loops).
Source: Rfam by way of RNAcentral
GAACCAUCCACUUGACUUUUAAUCAAGGUGUCCGGAGUUCGAAUCUCCGAUGGUUCA